Molecule: ribosomal RNA, 253 nt
Filed under: uncultured bacterium
Lineage: Bacteria
Description: partial 16S ribosomal RNA
Rfam family: Bacterial small subunit ribosomal RNA
Source: RNAcentral
UACGGAGGAUGCAAGCGUUAUCCGGAAUGAUUGGGCGUAAAGCGUCCGCAGGUGGCACUGUAAGUCUGCUGUUAAAGAGCAAGGCUCAACCUUGUAAAGGCAGUGGAAACUACAGAGCUAGAGUACGUUCGGGGCAGAGGGAAUUCCUGGUGUGGCGGUGAAAUGCGUAGAGAUCAGGAAGAACACCGGUGGCGAAAGCGCUCUGCUAGGCCGUAACUGACACUGAGGGACGAAAGCUAGGGGAGCGAAUGGG